GUGGCGCUUUCCCCACCGUGUUCCUAAACCCUCCGUCAAGCUCUCUUUGAAGUACCAGGGUGCCAUCUGUCUCCUACCAGAACCCUGACUGAUACGCAGCCUUAAUCUGCCCUCAGAGGCUGGACUGGGGGCCUGCUAUACCCUGUGAGAUGCUGGGCACCUGCCAGGAGUCCCUGUUAUUCAGCCUAUAGCGUAAUUCCACCAGUCACCUCUCUCUCCAGCCCAACCCACGUGGGCCCAGAGCUGUUCUAGGCACUUUACACUUAAUCAUCACACAAACAACAAGCCCACAGAUGGCACUGCUGCCUGUGUUUUCAGAAGAAGAAACUAACGCAGAUGAAGCUUUGCCCAAGUUCACACAGUGAGUUAGAGGAAGGGCCCUGUGAUUUGAACUCAAGUCUGGACUCCCAAGGCUGUGCCUUAAACAGCACCCCUGGGACUCCCGCUCUCCCUCCUCACAGGAAGGUGACAGGACCAGACGACACAGUGAGGGUGAAGUUGCCUUUGAAGACCCUGGAGCGCCAAGCUGCCAGGUUAGCCUGAGACCUGUGGUGCAUCCUGUCACUCCCCAGGACACCAGGCUGAGGGACGGAGCACUCAAGAGGGUCAGGGCUGGCAGGGGCCUCAGAGAUCACACAGCCUCACCCCUUCCUGGGCUGAGGGAGAAACAGCCUCAGAGAGAACAAGUGGUUCCCCUAAGGUCCUACCCUAGCUGUAGGAGCCAGAAUGAGAAUCCAGAAUGUCUUCAGAAACUCCGUAACCACGUCAGGGGCAAGGAUGGAGCAUUUGCCUUAGCGAGCAGCGCGGGAGAGAGAAGGGCUGGGGGUCGGGAGAGGGGGAAGCUGAGGGUUCCUGGACGAUAGAAAGUCAUAUUUGAAGGAUGCGAGGGCUCUCAGAGCCCAUCUAGAAGGCUUCUCUGCUGGUCACUCUGACAAGGGAGCUCUACUUGCUCACCUCCAGGGGUGGGAGGAAGCCUGUUCACGUGAGGGGCAGCCUGUCCCACAGUCCCCGUAAGCGAGGUCUGGAUCCUGUGAUCCUGUGACUCCCCAGUCCCCAAGCCCACUUGGUCCCAAGUCAUCUUCUUUUUUUUUUUUUAGGGCCACACCAGGCUAGGGGUCCAAUCGGAGCUGUAGCCACUGGCCUACGCAAUGCCACAGCCACAGCAAUGUGGGAUCUGAGUUGCGUCCAUGACCUACACCACAGCUCACGGCAAUGCUGGAUCCUUAACCCACUGAGCAAGGCCAGGGAUGGAACCUGAAUCCUUGUGGAUGCUAGUCGGGUUCCUUAACCGCUGAGCCAUUACAGGAACUCCCCCAGGUCUUCUUUCUAGGACUCCACAGACACGCCUGCCCCCUCUGCCGCAGAUGUGCAGGUCGUGCUCACAGCACACUUCCUCCCCCCUCCUCACUUCUGCUCUGCUGUGAAUCCCUGGGGCGCCUUCCCCCCUCCUCUCCAUCUGCCCAAAUCGCAUCUGCUUUCCAAAGCCCACCACAGCUUCAGCCUGUGCAGCCAUUUACCUACUUCUGAUAGGAGCAUCCACAUUUUCCUUAGGGAAUCACCUGCCCACCGAUUUUAUACGUAUGUAUUUGUUUGUUUGUUUUCAUUGAGGUAUAAUUGACAUGUAACACUAUGUUCGUUCGUUUCAGGUGUACAACAUAAUAACUUGAUAUUCGUAUACAUUGUGGAAUGAUGACCACAAUAAGUCUUAACAAUCACCCUUUUAUGAAUCCACAAAAAUUUUUUCCCUGUGAUGAGAAUUUCUAAGAUUUAUUCUUUUGGCAGCUUUCAGAUAUACAACACAGCAUAAUUAACUGCAGACACCAUGUUGUCCGUUAUAGCCCCAUGACUUCUUUCUUUUAUACCCAGAAGUUUGUGCCUUUUGCCCCCUUCACCCAUUUCUCCCACCAGUUCAUCUCUGUUUUGAAUAGAGAUGAAGCCCCUACCAGCUUCUGUAAUUGGUGCAGGAAUAGGCACUGGACCUGGUUCAGGAUAAUAAGAGUCUGACCCAGGACUUCUGUCAGAAGGAUUAUGGGGGAAAGAAGCUCUUUCUGCUGGAUUUAUUGACAAAAUAGAGAGUAUGCACAGAACUGGGCAGCUAUCUUGUUAUCUCAAGGUGGGAUCCUGCCUGAACAUGGAGCAGCAGUGAGAAAAGCAGAGCCCGACAAUGCAAAGAGAGCUUCCUGAAGACACCAUCUGAGCUCCUGGAUCCAGCCAUGCCUGAAGCUAGAUAUGUCAGGAUUUUACAAUUUUAUGAGUUGAUAAAUUCCCUUUUUUACUUAAAGUCAGUCUUAACUGUGUUUUCUGUCUGUUGCAACUAGGAUUUCUGAUUAAUAUACUCGCCUUCUUUGCAAACACUAAUUGUCACCAAACUUAGAGAAGUUCAAAAGAUUCAAAAGUCCAUAUUUAUACAACCAUGAACAGAUAUGCCCUCAUUAAUAGUUACUCUUUAUGGAAUACUUCCUGUUUGUCAGGUACAAAAGGGCACUGGAGUUCCCCUCGUGGCGCAGCAGAAAUGAAUUCAACUAGGAACCAUGAAGUUGCGGGUUCAAUUCCUGGCCUCACUCAGUGGGUUAAGGAUCUGGCAUUGCCAUGAGCUGUGGUGUAGGUCACAGACUUAGCUUGGAUCUGCUGUUGCUGUGGCUGUGGUGUAGGCCAGUGGCUACAGCUCCCAUUAGACCCCUAUGCCAUGGGUGCGGCCCUCAAAAAAGACAAAAAAAAAAAA
RNAcentral lists this long non-coding RNA (2722 nucleotides) under Sus scrofa (pig). RNAcentral's name for it is "lncRNA (ENSSSCG00040030730.1)". Lineage: Eukaryota; Metazoa; Chordata; Mammalia; Artiodactyla; Suidae. The record is from RNAcentral.